CUGCUGAGGUGUCCGUGGGGUGCAAGAAUUUGUGCUGGUCUCUGUCCUUUCCUGGGUGAUGCCAAAUGUUUCUACGAACGUGUGCCUGUUAGAGCUGGCACUGAGAUGGCUGUGGCGUCCUCACAGCGCACCCCGUCGUUGCCCAAUGCUGGGUGCAGCCGGUUGUGCUCGCCUGGCUUUUGUGGAGCACAACCUGAGCCCCUGGGCCGGAGAGAAGGAGAAAGGGGGUUGUUGUGGUUUUUGUUUGUUUGUUUGUUUGUUUUUGCGCAUUACAUCCAUCUGCUGAAAGGGGCAGCAUAAGAAAACAAGUCUGUGCUCGUCCUCAGAGCAGCGAAGGCAUCCUUCCUCACCUCACUUACCUCACAGACGAGCACAUCAGGCUGGCUGCUCAGUCACAGCCCACAGGGUCUUUUUGGCAUGGUGAGAGAAAAUUGGAUAAAGACUAUUCAAGUCGGGAUUGUUUGCAAGCAGGUCACUGGUGGCCCUUUGCAGUCCAUGGACCACAAUGCGUCUCAGUCACUUUUGCCAUCUCUAGUAGGACAACAGAAGACUUCCAACAGGCGCUGCACUGCCUGAAGCCCCUCAAGGAGAGUGCUGUGGCUUUGCCUGCUCCUUUGUUGCUGUUUGUAUUCCAGCUGGCCCAGAGAUGGAGGGAGAGAUGUCUUCGUAGAUCCUUGGGAUGCGUUCAAAAAUGCAGUCUUUCUUUUAGUCAUGUCUCUGAAGAGAGCACGCACCUUCCUGUAGUUGGUAUAACUCCUCAAUUAGAAGAAUCAGAAAAAUAG
RNAcentral lists this long non-coding RNA (782 nucleotides) under Cairina moschata (Muscovy duck). RNAcentral's name for it is "domestica (muscovy Duck (domestic type)) lncRNA (ENSCMMG00000005992.1)". The record is from RNAcentral. Lineage: Eukaryota; Metazoa; Chordata; Aves; Anseriformes; Anatidae.